UGUGUUUGCUUUUAGAUCCUAAGAGUUCAUAACCCUAACUGGGUAUGAGAAUGUUCAACCUGGGUGUUAUCCUGGGUAACAGAACCAAGCUUCGGGAAAUGAGACGCUAAAGGAAAACAGCGAGGAUGAAUCUGUUAUAAAUGAAGCAACCACACAUGUACACAUUAUACCAGGAAGCUUCAGUCUAUAGACAGCUAAUAGUUCUGCCAGAUAUGCAACAGCAGCCUUGAGAGUAUGAGUUCAAUUCUCCGUUUAUGACAGAGUUGGAAGAAUUUCUUCACCAAGGUAAGGAGUGAGAAAGUGA
RNAcentral lists this long non-coding RNA (304 nucleotides) under Fukomys damarensis (Damara mole-rat). Its description in RNAcentral is "lncRNA (ENSFDAG00000029546.1)". The record is from RNAcentral. Lineage: Eukaryota; Metazoa; Chordata; Mammalia; Rodentia; Bathyergidae.